CCUACGGGAGGCAGCAGUGAGGAAUAUUGGUCAAUGGACGAGAGUCUGAACCAGCCAAGUAGCGUGAAGGAUGACUGCCCUAUGGGUUGUAAACUUCUUUUAUAAAGGAAUAAAACGAGGCACGUGUGCCUUUUUGCAUGUACUUUAUGAAUAAAGAUCGGCUAACUCCGUGCCAGCAGCCGCGGUAAUACGGAGGAUCCGAGCGUUAUCCGGAUUUAUUGGGUUUAAAGGGAGCGUAGAUGGGUUGUUAAGUCAGUUGUGAAAGUUUGCAGCUCAACCGUAAAAUUGCAAUUGAUACUGGCAGUCGUGAGUACAGUUGAGGUAGGCGGAAUUCGUGGUGUAGCGGUGAAAUGCUUAGAUAUCACGAAGAACCCCGAUUGCGAAGGCAGCUUACUAAACUGUGACUGACAUUGAUGCUCGAAAGUGUGGGUAUCAAACAGGAUUAGAUACCCCAGUAGUC
Molecule: ribosomal RNA, 460 nt
Filed under: uncultured bacterium
Lineage: Bacteria
Description: partial 16S ribosomal RNA
Rfam family: Bacterial small subunit ribosomal RNA
Source: RNAcentral